AUCGAAACAGGGGAGACCUAUUUAUCAUCAAUUCGGCAACUUGCCAGUCGGAUUCAAGGUGGAACAAUGGUCCAAAGACUGAAAAAAGAAAGAGAGGAAGCUUACCUCGCCUCUGGCGAGUUUUUCGGCCGAAUCGACAGUAAAAACCCUAAGUAUCUCCAAUGGAAAGCCUAGAGUUUUAUGUUAAGGGAAGAGCUCCCAAGGUUGAUGCUAAAGGAGAGGAAGGACACUCUUUUAUAGGUGAAAAUCGGCUCAAACUUGGAAGGAUUCGGUCAUCUUCAGUCCCUUCCUCCUGGCGGGACCAGAGAGCGAAGAGAGACUCCUGUUCGGAGUCCGACUUCUUCCUCUCCUACAUGCAUGGGCUGUGUGAGCCCUUGCUCACAUGAGCUUGUGAUCCAAUUCAUGUGCAGACUAGCAAUGGGCUGGGCCGAUCAAGUGGAUCAGGUCUAGACUGGGCCUUCACAAUAUUAACUUAGUUUAUGUCAAAUGUACGCUAUUUGGCACAAUAAAAGGAAUAAGUCCUUUUUAUUCUGCCUUAUUCCGCAAGCAAACACAACCUUAGUUCAUCAGAAAAUUGCUUAACCUAUUUCAGCCACUAUCAAUGACCAGUAUUUCCUACUUGCACUUUCUAUCUUCAAAUUAAUUCUUAGCUACUCCCCUCCACCUUCUAGCUUUCUUGUCUUCAAUACUCUCCUCAUGCACACCUUUAUGCACACAGGCAAUCCUAGCAAUUUCCCUUAUCCACAACUAUUUACUUAGGCAACCUUGGCAAUUGCCCUAGAAUAUUUGUAGCUUCAAUCUGCAGGCCUCCACUUGCUAAGUGUUAACCAUUGCCGCUAAUUGAUGACCUGUCCAAUCCUCAAUUCUAUACCUUUGACACCCAAAAAACUAAGAUUUGAUGAGCACCUUGCCUAAUCAAAUUACACCCUUUUUUCAACCCUUAAAUCUCAUUAGCACUCAUCCAUCUCGGAAGAAUAGCAUAUUCUUCUUUCAAAUCAUUAUAGUACGAGUUAUUAUGUUCAUUUCAAAAUUGAUACUAAGUCAAAUAAGUAGUCUCCUGGCUCCUAUUAUCACACCAAAGGAAAAAGAACCACCUCAAAGAUCAAUAUUUAUGUAUAAACUAGGAGUUAGUCUCUCGUAUCCCAUGUUUCCACUUAGUAAUAAUUGUCUAGACAAUCUUUAAUCAAUGUGGUGACUGAAACUUAAUUUUUCCCUUCAUGCCUUUAGGAUCCCG
This 1234-nucleotide long non-coding RNA is filed under the name Phoenix dactylifera (date palm). Its description in RNAcentral is "long non-coding RNA (PDAC_LNC015353)". Lineage: Eukaryota; Viridiplantae; Streptophyta; Magnoliopsida; Arecales; Arecaceae. The record is from RNAcentral.